GCUGGCGGCGUGCUUAACACAUGCAAGUCGAACGAUGAACCACUUCGGUGGGGAUUAGUGGCGAACGGGUGAGUAACACGUGGGCAAUCUGCCCUUCACUCUGGGACAAGCCCUGGAAACGGGGUCUAAUACCGGAUACCACUACCGCAGGCAUCUGUGGUGGUUGAAAGCUCCGGCGGUGAAGGAUGAGCCCGCGGCCUAUCAGCUUGUUGGUGAGGUAAUGGCUCACCAAGGCGACGACGGGUAGCCGGCCUGAGAGGGCGACCGGCCACACUGGGACUGAGACACGGCCCAGACUCCUACGGGAGGCAGCAGUGGGGAAUAUUGCACAAUGGGCGAAAGCCUGAUGCAGCGACGCCGCGUGAGGGAUGACGGCCUUCGGGUUGUAAACCUCUUUCAGCAGGGAAGAAGCGAAAGUGACGGUACCUGCAGAAGAAGCGCCGGCUAACUACGUGCCAGCAGCCGCGGUAAUACGUAGGGCGCAAGCGUUGUCCGGAAUUAUUGGGCGUAAAGAGCUCGUAGGCGGCUUGUCACGUCGGGUGUGAAAGCCCGGGGCUUAACCCCGGGUCUGCAUUCGAUACGGGCUAGCUAGAGUGUGGUAGGGGAGAUCGGAAUUCCUGGUGU
Molecule: ribosomal RNA, 624 nt
Filed under: Streptomyces canus
Lineage: Bacteria; Bacillati; Actinomycetota; Actinomycetes; Kitasatosporales; Streptomycetaceae
Description: bacterial SSU rRNA
Rfam family: Bacterial small subunit ribosomal RNA
Source: RNAcentral